AGGGGGAUAACAUCCGGAAACGGAUGCUAAAACCGCAUAGGUCUUCGAGCCGCAUGGCUUGAAGAGGAAAAGAGGCGCAAGCUUCUGCUGAUGGAUGGACCCGCGGUGCAUUAGCUAGUUGGUGAGGUAACGGCUCACCAAGGCCGUGAUGCAUAGCCGACCUGAGAGGGUGAUCGGCCACAUUGGGACUGAGACACGGCCCAA
This 204-nucleotide ribosomal RNA is filed under the name uncultured bacterium. RNAcentral describes it as "partial 16S ribosomal RNA". It matches the Rfam family "Bacterial small subunit ribosomal RNA", at positions 137 to 334 of the family's 1533-position model. The record is from RNAcentral.